RNAcentral lists this ribosomal RNA (145 nucleotides) under Lactococcus lactis subsp. lactis bv. diacetylactis str. TIFN2. Its description in RNAcentral is "partial 16S ribosomal RNA". It matches the Rfam family "Bacterial small subunit ribosomal RNA", at positions 1 to 139 of the family's 1533-position model. Lineage: Bacteria; Bacillati; Bacillota; Bacilli; Lactobacillales; Streptococcaceae. The record is from RNAcentral.
UUUAUUUGAGAGUUUGAUCCUGGCUCAGGACGAACGCUGGCGGCGUGCCUAAUACAUGCAAGUUGAGCGCUGAAGGUUGGUACUUGUACCGACUGGAUGAGCAGCGAACGGGUGAGUAACGCGUGGGGAAUCUGCCUUUGAGCGG